Long non-coding RNA from Leopardus geoffroyi (Geoffroy's cat), 1374 nucleotides. RefSeq lists it as uncharacterized. Lineage: Eukaryota; Metazoa; Chordata; Mammalia; Carnivora; Felidae. The transcript has 3 exons. The record is from RefSeq and is a predicted model, not a curated record.
CAAUGAAACAUGCAAAAACAUGGGAACAGCCACAAAGAAAAUACCGACAAACUACACAGUUGUCUGAAUCUAGGUGAACUACAUAGUGUAGGCUUGCUAGAAUGUGUAUGUUCUGAUAUUGACACCCUACAAUGUUACACUGAAUUCGAAACAUCAAGUUCCAACGAACCUUUGUUUAAUAGUACAUGGUAAUACAAUAAUUCUGGAAAGGAAUUCUGCACCUGGGGACUUUCAUGCUGCUAACCAACCUUGAAAUCAAACUGCUAAAUAGGGCUUAGUGCACUGGCAAAUCUUGAAGUCUUUUUUUUUUUUUUUUUUUUAUACCAGUGUUCAGGUUAAUGGGUAAGGGUUGGUAUUUAAAGUAUACUGCAGUUUCUUUUAGUUAAUAAUACAUCAUCCCAUGGGUUCUGAAGAAUCUGUCAAAACAAAUAAUGGCAAACUAGACCAAUGCUCCAUUUGGACUAGAGGGUGCCUUGGACAAAAUGAAUCUGGUUAUCCGUUUCCAAUGGACAGGAGUCAUUAAUUUCAUUAGGAGAGAUCUAUAGAACUGGAAUGCUUGAGUCUCAUAGAUGGUUUUAAAUCUCUUGUUCCAUUUAGAAUUGUUUCUAUUUUACUGGUGUUUCUCACUGUUGCCUGUAGUAACAUCAGGUAUUUCUCAGUUUUUAGAAUGAACUAUUUGUUUCUUUAAACACAGGACCCCACACCUUGGAUUUCACAGUCUAUUGAAAUCAAGGUCAACUGGAAACUAAUACUCUGCUUCCAUUCAUUUUGUGCCUUCAGAUUUCAACCGAAACCACUGAGAGAGGAUAGCCUCAAAUACCAUGCUUGGGUUUCAAUGCCAUGAGGGGUUAGCAAACGAAGAUGGCCGUCCCCGCUAUCGCUUACAGAAGAUGACCCACAUAGAUGGCUAAGAACUGAAUCAAAUCUAUUCUGACCAAGGGAAAAAUGCAACAAUCCUUAGAAAGACAAGCCAACAAGCUGAGCCUCACUAAUACACAGCACUGGCAGGUAACCCCCGGACCUCUCUCCAGGCCUGCUUCCUGUCCUGGGAGGCUCACUGUGACGUCCUCAACUGGGGCUCCAUUUCAAGGGACUUCUGAGAUGUCAGACUUCCAGACAGAGAUGGAGGGAGGGGGAGAGAGGUCAGGGUCUUCAUCAUCCUGACUCCCUCCCUGCCUGGUGGCCUUGAACUCCUGGGCCCCUCUGUCUGUGUUCUCUGCACCCCCCAGUUGGAUGGCCAACUCAGUACCACUGUAUUCCCGGCUCCUAGGAAAGGAAGGAGAGGUGGACCUAGUCAGGCUUCUCUGCUAUUCUAAUGGUUUCCCUGGACCUCACCUUUGUAAACAGCGUAUCCAUAAAUAAACUCUGCUGAAA